AUUGAACGCUGGCGGCAGGCUUAACACAUGCAAGUCGAGCGGGGAAAGGUAGCUUGCUACCUGACCUAGCGGCGGACGGGUGAGUAAUGCUUAGGAAUCUGCCUAUUAGUGGGGGACAACAUCUCGAAAGGGAUGCUAAUACCGCAUACGUCCUACGGGAGAAAGCAGGGGACCUUCGGGCCUUGCGCUAAUAGAUGAGCCUAAGUCGGAUUAGCUAGUUGGUGGGGUAAAGGCCUACCAAGGCGACGAUCUGUAGCGGGUCUGCGAGGAUGAUCCGCCACACUGGGACUGAGACACGGCCCAGACUCCUACGGGAGGCAGCAGUGGGGAAUAUUGGACAAUGGGGGGAACCCUGAUCCAGCCAUGCCGCGUGUGUGAAGAAGGCCUUUUGGUUGUAAAGCACUUUAAGCGAGGAGGAGGCUACCGAGAUUAAUACUCUUGGAUAGUGGACGUUACUCGCAGAAUAAGCACCGGCUAACUCUGUG
This 485-nucleotide ribosomal RNA is filed under the name uncultured bacterium. RNAcentral describes it as "partial 16S ribosomal RNA". It matches the Rfam family "Bacterial small subunit ribosomal RNA", at positions 30 to 507 of the family's 1533-position model. The record is from RNAcentral.